GGACUACUGGGGUAUCUAAUCCUGUUUGCUCCCCACGCUUUCGCACCUCAGCGUCAGUAUCGACCCAGAUCGCCGCCUUCGCCACCGGUGUUCCUCCCGAUAUCUACGAAUUUCACCUCUACACCGGGAAUUCCGCGAUCCUCUUUCGUACUCUAGCUCGCCAGUUUCGGAUGCACUUCCUCGGUUAAGCCAAGGGCUUUCACAUCCGACAUAACGAACCGCCUACGUGCGCUUUACGCCCAAUGAUUCCGAGCAACGUUUGCACCCCCUGUAUUACCGCGGCUGCUGGCAC
This 292-nucleotide ribosomal RNA is filed under the name uncultured bacterium. RNAcentral's name for it is "partial 16S ribosomal RNA". The record is from RNAcentral.